RNAcentral lists this long non-coding RNA (310 nucleotides) under Brassica napus (rape). Its description in RNAcentral is "long non-coding RNA (BNAP_LNC003604)". The record is from RNAcentral. Lineage: Eukaryota; Viridiplantae; Streptophyta; Magnoliopsida; Brassicales; Brassicaceae.
GCUGCAAAUGGUGGCGUUGCCUCUUCCCAGCUUAUGUGGAAGGCCUCAUCAUUACAUGUGACGAGAAUCAGAAUGCUGAUGUAAUUCCAGUCUGAAAUACAUACACAUAAUUACGUAUGUUUUGCUUAUCUGUUAUAUUCUGUAGAUCCUAUAUAUAUAUAUAUGUUGUAUAGCCAAGAGUUAGGCCCUAAAACAGAAGAAAAGAAAAGGAAACCAUGUACUGUCAUCAUAUGAGAUUUUUGCCUCUUUUGAUGGGGUUAUGUUCUGUGUACAUUAAAAGCUUCAAAUGUAAAAUUGAAAUUUUCUACCA